Molecule: non-coding RNA, 208 nt
Organism: Oryza glaberrima (African rice)
Lineage: Eukaryota; Viridiplantae; Streptophyta; Magnoliopsida; Poales; Poaceae
Source: Rfam
AAUAAGUGCAGUUUUACACUAUUCACGUUCAACGUUUGACCGUUCGUCUUAUUUGAAAAUUUUUUAUAAUUAGUAUUUUUAUUGCUAUUAGAUGAUAAAACAUGAAUAGUACUUUAUGUGAGACUAAGUAUUUUCAAAUUUUUCAUAAAUUUUUCAAAUAAAAUGGACGGUCAAACGUUGGGCACGGAUAUCCACGGCUGCACUUAUU